GAUUGUCUGCCAGUUGAUUAGUAUUUGAAUCGCUAUGGUUGAUCAAAAUAUGUAAACAUAGAUCUUACAGAUAUGAAAAUUUUCCUUGGCUGUAGCAUCGGCUGAAUAAUCGCUGUUAUGAAAUGUGCAUGAUUUGUUGACCUGUAAUUAGUACUGCAGUUUGCUUAUCUGUAACCAUCUACUUUCUUCUUUUUUUUC
Molecule: small RNA, 198 nt
Filed under: Oryza sativa Japonica Group (Japanese rice)
Lineage: Eukaryota; Viridiplantae; Streptophyta; Magnoliopsida; Poales; Poaceae
Description: misc RNA Os04g0379500
Source: RNAcentral